This is a non-coding RNA of Punica granatum (pomegranate), 2602 nucleotides long. Lineage: Eukaryota; Viridiplantae; Streptophyta; Magnoliopsida; Myrtales; Lythraceae. The record is from RefSeq and is a predicted model, not a curated record.
UGUUUGUUGAGGUUUGAGUGAGGGUAUGGGCUACUGUUUUGCUGUCAUUUCUAUUUGGUCCUUUACUAAGAAUCUUCCUUGUGUUUGGCAUCAAAACCGCCCUUGCUCUCUGAUAGGCCUCAACCCUCUUAUUUAAACAUUAAUCUCCCCAAAAACAUUUGAGUGACAGACUCAAAAAGUCCUGCUUCAUUACCGUCAAGAGUUCCUGUUUCGCUCUCGAGAGACACCAUGAAGAGCCGUAGAGGAAGGCGUUCCGAGCCCUUUUGGCCUUCCAUUGUGAUGAAGAAAUGGUUGAAUAUUAAACCAAAGGUGAAUGAUUUCAGCGAGGACGAGGUCGACACUGAAACAGAGAGCGAAGAUGAUGCUUCCUCCGUUAAAGAUGAGAGUCUUCCCCAAAAUGAUGAUUAUUCCCGAAGAACUCAACCGAACCAACCUGAAUGCCCGCCUCGAACCUCAGACAUGAAUUCAAAGGGCAGCUCUCAGUUCAGACACAGGAGAGGGAAGUCGGAGACGUUGCGUGUUCAGUACAUAAACACGAAGGAAGUGAGGGUAACCAUAGGCACUUGGAAUGUUGCUGGGAGACUUCCAAAUGAAAAUCUUGAGAUCGAUGAUUGGCUCUGUACCAAAGAACCUGCAGACAUAUACAUCAUCGGGUUUCAGGAGGUUGUUCCUUUGAAUGCGGGAAAUGUCCUGGGAGCUGAGGACAGCCGUCCCAUCCCGAAAUGGGAGGCUAUCAUUCGGAGAACCUUGAACAAAUCUGCUGAACCAGAAACCAAACACAAAAGCUACAGCGCCCCACCAUCUCCAGUGCUAAGGACUUCCUCUGCUGCUGACUCAUUGGCGGAUGCAGUCGAGGCCCAGGAUGCACUGGAGAUGAUAAUCAAGGACGAUCUCAUGGUACCUGCCACGGUCGGCUACAGCUUUGACGAUGAUGAUCCUAAAGGAAUUAUGGGUGUAGGAAGGAACUUGCAGUUGAGGAUAAAUGGGGACUUGAGUAGUCAUAUCGACUGGCCUGAACAACCACUAGAUGCAGGUCCAACAAUAAUUUCUUCAGGUGCAAAACUAAGGAGAGUGUUUAGCAGUUCUGCAAGAAUCGGGUGCGAAACUUUUGCCCUGAGAGGUGACUCGUUGAGAAGAUCGCACCACAGCUACGGAAAUCUUGGGUUGGAUUUGAGUAUAGAAGAGAAAUGGAAGCCUGGAGUUCUCAAUUUACCCUUUGACGAGCCUGGCAGGUUUUCUCUAGAGGAUGAUGAUCCCCUCCUCAAAACAUCACCUGAAAAACAGGAUAAUGGAAUGACUAGAGGUAAUAAGGCAAAGGCACGACCGAAAUAUGUGAGAAUUAUCAGCAAGCAGAUGGUGGGGAUCUAUGUUUCGAUUUGGGUUCGGAAGAGGCUCAGGAGGCACAUAAACAACCUUAAAGUGUCCCCUGUAGGAGUUGGCCUUAUGGGCUACAUGGGAAAUAAGGGAUCGGUUUCUGUUAGCAUGACUCUCUUUCAAUCCUCGUUAUGUUUUGUUUGCUCUCACCUGACCUCUGGUCAGAAGGAUGGGGCCGAACAGAGAAGGAAUGCUGAUGUUAGUGAGAUUUUACGCCGAACCUGUUUCUCGUCAAUCUUUGAUAACGAUCAGCCACAGACAAUCCGAUCACACGAGUAUGCUCUUUCUCAAAUUUCAGAUAUUCUGGUUCGGAGAUCUAAACUACCGUCUGAAUAUGGCGGAUUCGGACGUGAGAAAGCUUGUUGCUAAGAAACAGUGGAACGAGCUAAUGAACCAUGACCAGUUAAGCAAAGAACUCCAAGUUGGCCGUGUAUUCGAAGGAUGGAAAGAAGGUGCAAUAAACUUCCCACCAACCUACAAGUAUGAGAUCAAUUCUGACGGAUACGUUGGUGAAACCCCGAGAGAAGGCGAGAAGAAGAGAUCACCCGCAUGGUGUGAUCGUAUACUGUGGCUUGGGAGAGGAAUAAAACAGCUUUCCUACAAAAGAGCGGAUAUAAGGCUCUCAGAUCAUCGGCCAAUUAGCUCUGCAUUCUCAGUCGAAGUUGAAGUAUUGGACCAUCGGAAGCUCCAGCGGGCUAUAAAUUUGACCAGCGCUGCUGUGCAUCCUGAGGUUUUGCUCGAUGAAGACAGGGAAUUGUGACAAGGAGAUUGCACAGCAGGAAACCGAGACUCGAACUACGACACUGAUCUAUCUGGCUGAGAUCCUCGCAGCAUCUGCUGUGCUAACAUGAUCACUUAAUUAUUAUGCAGAUGAUUGAUGCGAACUUUCAAUGGAGCAAAGAUCAUACGCCCACACCGUUACAGAUAGUAAUCGAAGGAAAAAAAGACUUCCAAAAUUUUUGCCAUAAAUACAUAACACACUGGUCAGAAUUAUGAAGAUGAUGAUUUGGUUCUGAAACUGAAAGUGUGAACAGAAGAACCAAGUGGUGUUGACUUCAUUUAUUUAUUAAUGGAACUCUCUUUCACCUCUGGAGCUUUUUCUGACUAAUUUUAUUGUCAGCAACAUCUCUGAGCCUCGUAGUAUAUCUGUAAAUCCAACAGAAUUACAUCUUUUACUUUGAGUUGGAGGACUUUUGUUUAAUGAUAUUGCCUCUGUAUAUUGUUCCUU